UUGUUUUGUUUUUUAUCAAAAACGAAUUCGCUAUCCGACUUGAAGUUCUCGGGGCAUUUUUUAUAAUUUAUCUCUCUAAUACUGUGAUUGUUCACUUUUUUGAAGCAUUCAAUCUCAUUUUGUGAUAUUAUGUCCAUCACUGUACUAAAAUAGUAAAUGCAAUGUUCAUUUCAUCAGUGAUUAGAGAAUCCCGUGCCUGUUCUCCUGAUUUUGCAAUCAACGUCUAUUCCUUGCUGAUGUCUUAGGUACUUACAUACGUCGACAGUUAAUUUUGUGGUCGAGGUUCUUCAAGUGGUUUACAUUUCCCCUCAGUGAUGAUUACUAUAAGGGGAUGUUCUUUUCACGUCGUAUAACUUCCCUCCAGCUUAUAAUUUUGUUUGUUUGCAUAUUAGCACUACUCAUUGGCAAGCAAAUGAAGGAUUUAUAUGAUAAGCAUCAGCAAAUUAUACGUCUAGAGGACUACAAUCACUUUUUGGAUGAAAUGGCUGUAACAAUGAAGAGCUUCGAGAAACGGCUUGUCAAUCAUUCUCACAAAAUUCGUGAAUUGAGCAAGUUCGUGAAAUCAGAGAAAAGCUCAGGAGUGAGGUGACGAAACAGAAAGGCAGUGACUUGCAAUGUAAUUCAAAUCAUCACUUUUCCCCUCUCUCAUGUCCCAGCUGGAUGCCUUAUUUUUCACUUCUUGUUUCUAUUUGUAUAAGCUCUUUUUCCCCUGUGUUUGUCCUUCUUUUUCUAGUUGACUUAUUUGACCAUUUUGUGAGUGAGGUUUCACGGUGAUAUGUACUUUUUUUUUUGUUAUUUUUAUUUCUUCAAAGAACAAAGUCAAAAAAACGAAGAGUCCAAGACGCUGUAACAAUCAAGAUUCUGUAUAUCAGCACAUCUGCAAGAAAGUUUGGCUAUUUGAUCUUAUUGUUUGUUAAACGUGACUCAAAAAUUUUCUUAAUCAUAAUCGUUUGUUCUCUUUCACUCUUUUUCGCUUGGUGGGUAAAAGAAGCCGUGAUCGUCUAAGACAAAAAAGAGGGAGGAAGAAGAAAUUGAAAUAUUACGGUUUCUAGUACCUACUUUUUAAAAGCUAAGUGAGCAUUUGACAAUCAGGUGUUCAGCUCUUCUGAAGAUUUAAUAUAGGCGCCUCAAAGUGUAUCAUAUCAAUGAUAUACAUGUAUCUUGGUAUGGAAGACCAAGUAAAAAGGUUUCUUUUCCCAGACAAAGCCUCUUUGAUUACCUAUUAAAGUUCUAAUUAUGCAAUGGAUAUUGUAUGCCACCACCCCACCACUCUUAAAAGUAUUUCUUGAACAAUUAAUUCCAACAUUUUUUGUAUGACUUAAUUCCGUUGUUAUUGUUUUUGUUGCUUUUUCCUCUUUUUGACAUGUUUUUCUUUCCUCCAUUUGUAAAUUAUUGUUUGACACCCAUUUUAUUAUUUUUCCCAUGACAUCGCCUCUUUUUCAGUAGCCACUCAAAUUAAAAGUUUACAAAUGAAAACAGGCUGUUGAAUUUGUGCCAAAUUUUAAAAGUUUUAUUUCAGAAUUUUUUUGUAAAAGGUCCUGUACUUAAUUUUAAAGCCAAUGACAGACAUCCUGUCCCUCACUUUAUCCUAGCUUUUUAUUCAUAAGUUUAUUUGCAAGUUGCAAUUUCACAAGUUGAUUAAUUCAAAAUGCAGUUAAGAAGGAUGCACACUAAAUAUGUGAAAGUUUAUCCUACAUAAAUUCAAGGUGUCAACAGAAACUUUGCAUCGUUUCAAUCUGUUAAGUUAUUCGGAACCAGUAGUGUUAUUUGUAGGAUGUAGCUGAAGGAACUGCUGAUAUUCUUUUAAAGCCUGCGUUUAAUUUUGUAAUAUCACCAAAUGUCUUAUUUUUUGCCAAACACAUGUUUCUCAAAAAAGCACUGUCCUGAAAACUUAGGGAAUACCUAAAAUUAAGUGAUUUUUGAGUGAGAUAGAAUGGAUCAUAAAAAGUGUUUACGUCCAAUGAGUUGGUUGACCUUCAGAGUGAAAUAAAAUAUUUGGUACCUUGUCUUUAGCGUAUAGUUUUUAUGUGAAAAUGAAGCUGGUCCAUCGCUGUUGACAUUGAAAAAUUUGGCCACCUCAGUUGUGGCUAUAUGAUUUUUAGUGACCUUUUAAAACUCUGAAACCAACACUCUAUCUCUUCUUCUGAGUUCUGCCCGAUUCAAAAGUCCAUUCAAUCUUAUUAAUUUUAAACGAUUUUUUAUCCUAUACUGAAAUGAUCAUCAUUUUUUUAUUAUUCAUAGUUUGAUUAAAAUAUGCAGGUCUAUCAUUGAACUUUUGUUCUUUUUGACUCGGCAGGACAAGACUUGGUGGAGUAGAAUUAUGUGUUUGGUUAACUUUGUCAGGUGCCUUUUUUGUCGUGUCUGCGUCGGGUGGAAUUGACAAUAAUCGAAAAGCACCUCCAAAAGCUUGUUGGCAAUUCCACUAAGUACAGGCACAACGAAAA
This is a long non-coding RNA of Bemisia tabaci, 2444 nucleotides long. RefSeq lists it as uncharacterized. Lineage: Eukaryota; Metazoa; Arthropoda; Insecta; Hemiptera; Aleyrodidae. The record is from RefSeq and is a predicted model, not a curated record.